CCGCCGCCCUCUCCGCCGCUAAUUGGGCCCCUGAAACUGCCGCCGGCUCGGUAAUUGUGCCGUUGUGUCUGAAUUUGCACUUCACUGCUUCACCCCCCCGCGAUUGGAAUUCAUACGGGGGGCUCGGGGGGGGGGUCCGCAGCGUCCCGCUCCAUCUCCGCGUGAGGGGACUGUGGUUUUGAUGCAAAUAGCUUUUAGUUUGCUUCCUGUCUCCGUCUUUUCCCUCUCACCAAUAAUUGAUGGGGAGUUUAGGGAGAGCGCGAGCAGCGUGGUGAAAUAAGAAAAGGGUGAAGUGAUAUUACCAUAAGUGAGCCGGGUACUUCUUCAGUCUCUAACUGUCAAACUGCAAGAAAACAGUGGAAAGACAACAAAGACAAGCAAAGUUUGUUCCUGAGUAAUUAGCGAGGUAAAAUUAGCCCGUCGGUGGAGUCUUGCCGCUUUGAAGCGGCGCCAUUUCCUUUUCACAUCUAAAUCGCGUGUCAAAUUUUCAUCGCUGCCGUUCGGCGACGGCGCUUUUGUUUCACUCAAGGCGGAUCUGGUCGCUCGUGUGCCAAAGCGAACCUUUUGACUGGUUAAUGGCGAAUGAGAUGCAUCAACGCGGCGCUAAUUAUCGAUGACAGACAUAUUCUGCUGUCUCUCUCUCUCCGAUAACGCCACCACCCACUGUGUGUGCACACGGGCAGCCGGAGCCGCAUUCCAACACUUCUGCUCACACGAUUUUAGCCGAGCGCCGGCGUUGCCUCUGGAUUUUGGCCUCUUCACUUGUUGGCAAAUAAAGCAGCGCAUUGUUAACGUUUCCUUCCUCUGUCACUUGUUUUUCCUUUUCUUUCUUUCACGGCGCGUGAUUCACACGCCUCCAUUGCAACAUUUGUGCCUCCAUGUUUCCAUCUAAUUACUUCGGGCACGAAACCGAAUUGGCUUCACUCAUGGAACAUUGUGUGGUUGUUGCUUUUUUAAAAAAAGGUACUAAGCCAAGAUCAUGAAUCCGCUGACCUGAAACCUCCACUGAGAGGUACGACUCACCGCACUACACUUCCCUUUGACCUUUUCAAUACAAUACUUUAAAUCCCUUUAAUAUUGCUAAGCCAAUAUUUUUGCAGCCUGUAUUAGUAUUAGUUCACUUUUAUAAGUGAAUAAAACUGUUUGAGCAUUUCCAAUUGAGUUACUGUCAAAAGCAUUUGGUUUGGUAUCAACAUCCCAACUUCCUGUCAAUGGGUAAGAAACAACCCACAUAUCAAAUAAAGUCUGAUCCCCCCCCAAAAAAAAUCUUUUAAUGAGACCAAAUCCUUUUAACUCAUAGCCUAACUGCCAGUGUUAUGAAUACAAUCGUGUGUGUGUGUGUGUGUGUGUGUGUGUGUGUGUGUGUAGGGGGCUCACAGCAGUACAACAGGAAGAGCAGCAGUUUCCUCAGGAGGACGAAUCACAUCAAAGACAUCAAAAAACAUGCAGAGUCGACAUCAGACCGAGUGAGGAUCACCUCACAAGAACCAACCACACGCUCACGUCCUCAGAUUCUAUUAAAGCUGAACUGCAAUUGAACUGUAAAUUAAGAAAUCUUUGUGUCUGAUAUAUUGCACCUGACAGACUUUUUACUUUUACUGCUCCAAGCAAUGGCUCAAAUCUCCAACGCCCACUCUAAUUUAAACGAGUUUUAAAUUCACAUUUUAUAUCCCAGGUUUCCAGGAUGGGAAUCUUCAUUAAUAACAGGCUAUUUAAUUUCCCAUCAAAGGUACGAGUCCCGUAGAGCUAAAACAAUUUAUCGUGAGAGGGGAUGUCCAAAAUGAUCCCAAAAGGCAUCCGUUAACCUUAACGCGUGAAGCCUCCAUCGUGCCGGGGGAAGCCGAUCAUAAUCAAUCCGCUGGGCUUUAAAAGUCACACCGGCGCCGGCCCGCAGUCCACGCAGCGUCACAUGGUUCCGCAGCAGGAAGUAUCCUGCUGCUGGAAACAAAUGAAGAGACAGUGAUUCUUGCUUGCUUGCUUUUACCGUGUAAAAGUACCGUGUUUUGCUCAUCAGGCAGAACAACAAACCUGAGGCAACAACUACACGCUAUAAAAUAAAUUACCUCCAUAUAAGUUUUUAGGGCUUCCGGUCAAGGGGAAAUGCGCGCCUUUCAAAUCUGCCUUUGGCCUGAAUAUCUCCAGUGCACAGAGAGCAUCUCUCACUCCAGCUCCUCUCGGCUGGAUACAAGACGGAGGUCGAGGGCGGACGCGCCGCGUGACUGAAAGCUGCAGAAUGCCAGUUUUGGUCUUUGUGCGCGGGCGGAUGGAGGUGAGGACUGACCUUGUUUUCACCUGUUUUUAAUGACCAGGCGUUCAUCCAGGAGGGCCGGCUGUGUGUUUGCUGCUUCCUCUGAUGUCAGGAAGGACAUUCGCUGAAUGGGGCAGGGUUAGGAUUAGGUAAGAAGCGUUAGGGGUUAGGGUUGGGGGUUAUGUAAGAAGCGUUACGUUUAUGUAAGAAGCGUUAGGGUUAGGGGUUAUGGUUAGGUAAGAAGCGUUAGAGUUAGGGUUAGGGGUUAGGGUUAGGGUUAGUGUUGUAAUUAUUCUAACCGCAAUCUGUUUUAGUCAAAAUAACCUGGCACCUGUAUAAAUGUAUUGCCGAGCUUUGCUAACAAAGACAUUGCUUAAACAAGGACAUUUGAGAAAGGAGGGUAACCGGCCGACAAUUAGAGGUUAUUUUCAAGACCGUUGCCUUUGACAUCCUUCUGUAAACGUUGUCAAAAUCCAGAAUAGACCGAAACCUACAGCUCAGAAUCACACCUGUCUUCACCACUUAACCUUUUGAUGAAUAACUCCAACACAAAAAACCCGCCUGACAAGCGUUACUGCGUUGCCAUUCUAUCCAGUGAGAAAAGGCUAAAUCACAACUAAUCCCGUGUUCUUAAGAGCCUCACGACACCUCAAUUAUCCAUUACCCAUCAGCCCGUGUUUACACCGUCUCCCGCUGCACACGCACACCGCACGCUGACACCUGACGGUCAUCUGUGACUCACAAGGACAAAGGAGGAAGAUGAGUGUCCCGUGGAGAGGCGGGUGGGAGGGUUGAACUAAUGAGCGAGGCCAUUGUGGAGGAUAACAAAGCCGUCACGCUCGGCGAGAUCACAGCGAACUGCUCGUCCGCGCGCUCUCACGAAGGCCAUCCGCUGCUCGUCACACGCCCCCCGAGUGCUGACAGGUUCGGGGGCCCCUCGGCGUGUCGGCUCCCCUCCUCGGAGCGCAAAAACACCAAGGCUGCAAUUAAAGGAGGCAUUCAAAAAAAUGGCCGCACUCCGUCUGGACACAAUUAGAAAAAAAAAAAAAAAGAGCUUCUCUUCCUUUGUAAUUUUUCUUUUUGAAAGCAGAUGAUGCCGUGCUGCCAUGCUUUCAUGAACAAACCACACACACACAUGAUCAAACACAUUUUUGCUCAACGGGCUAACACACACACACACACACACACACACACACAUGCUGUUGUUGUUUUAACAGCAUCACAGGAACAACCGACGACAGUAAGAACGGGCGGUGAAAACACUUCAAGAAAAACGAGAGAUACCUGAAACAUGUGCAUGCAGCAUCUUCCACCUUCUUUCUGAUCAUCAAAAAAUACAAUCAGAAACAUUUUUUAAGUUUACCGUUUGUGUGAUUGUCAUAUAUGUGAGACACAAUGCGUGAAAAUGUGAAUUAUCCAUUUCAACCCUUUUUGACAUACCUGCAACAUCAAUGUGAACUGUUUCUUCUCCUCCAGGAGCGGCCUCCUUGUUAGUCAGGUCCAGAAUGAGGAAGAAGAAGCAAUGUGAGAUUAGUGCAUCAUCAGUAUUUCUGUAUAUCUUAGACAAUCAUUACCAUCGACAUCGGGAGAUACAUUUAGGGUAUAAGUGCGACGCUGUUUACUUCAAAAGGCAAAGACCCCAUAACAGUGUCGGCGAGCUUAUUAAUGCGACAUUGACGUCACGCGGAGGGAUAAAAUUAGCCAUUUUCCAGCUUAUAAAACCAACAUCCAAGUCGUAAACCCUGACCAGCUGAUGUGUUUUUCCAAAAAGUUGUGACAUACACAACUUGGGUUCCAGUAUAUUGGAAAUUUUGUGUAGGAAACAAACGUGUAUUGCUUGUGUCGGGCCAAAAGAACCAUUUCUAGAUCAAUUUAAAUAGCUCAUUUCUGGAAAACGUUUCGGUUCUGUUUCUGGUCCUCUUUGCCUCCAGUGCACAUCUCACGCGCACGCCGCUGCUCUGCGGCCGUGACACUGACGUCCGGGUGCUAUAAUUAGCAUUUCUUUUGGGGUGAACGGCAUUGCACUUGGCUUUGACGCAGCUGCAGGAGACGGCGGUGACAUUAAACGGGGACGCGAUGAGUUGAAAGCAAUUAAGUCCGAGGUCAAAGGUUAAGAUCAGAGGGCGUGUCGCUUAAAAUGCCACUUCGAAAGCACCUCUUUGCAAAGGCUGCAAGGACACGUUAGAAGGAUUGUUAAAGUCGCACUGACACAUCAGAGAAAAACAGCAUUAAAAGUCAGAUCAAUUUACAGUAAGUUGUUACAGUUGUAGUAGAUUUUCUCCUCUAGCUGAAGUCUGUAUUUAUUGAGUCCAGCAUGUCACUACAUUUCACCCCAGAGAAAUCUAAUAACCUGUAUAUAUAUAUAUAUAUAUAUAUAUAUAUAUAUAU
Molecule: long non-coding RNA, 4636 nt
Organism: Gasterosteus aculeatus aculeatus (three-spined stickleback)
Lineage: Eukaryota; Metazoa; Chordata; Actinopteri; Perciformes; Gasterosteidae
Source: Ensembl